Brassica rapa (field mustard) is the source of this 8881-nucleotide long non-coding RNA. RefSeq lists it as uncharacterized. The record is from RefSeq and is a predicted model, not a curated record. Lineage: Eukaryota; Viridiplantae; Streptophyta; Magnoliopsida; Brassicales; Brassicaceae.
UAUGACUCUAAAAUUCAUAUAAUAUGAUCUCAAACAAAAUAAUUAUGUUUUUUGGUAUAAAACCGAAUAAACCGAAAACCGACGGUAUAUAAACCGAACCGAACCGAAGUAAAUAUGGAUUUAGAAUGGUAGUCAUAUUUUACUAACCGAAAUACCGAAAACCGAAAAAAACCGAACCGAAACCGAACCGAUAUCCGGAUUGAACACCCCUAGAUUUAAUAUAUCUUACCACUUGCCAAUAAUAUGAUUUAUGGUUUAUAUAAAUAAACUAUAUUAAUUGUUUUAAAUUUUCAUAUAUAUAUAUAUAUAUAUAUUGAUGGGUUAGAAAUAAAAUGUAGAUAUAUAACAAUUAAGGUGAAACAUCAUUAAUUUUUUCGGUAAUCAAUCAUCAUUAAUUUUUUUGACAUCAAACGGCUGAUCUAUUACUCAAGUUUGAGGUGGUCUGGGGAACCAACCGAAAUAGAACAACCAAUGUAAUACAAGUCUCAAUGAAAUAAACCAAUCAUCAUUAAUUUAAGGGGUUUUUGCAAAUAUGACUCAAAACUUAAAGUCAAACACAAAACUAACCCAUGUGUUUUUUGAAACUUUGACUUGCCUCUUUCACCCCCAAAAAUCUAAUUAUUUACGAAAAUGUCAUAACUUUUUUUUUUGGAAAAUGCAUAUUUUUCUCUAUUAUCUUCAUCUUCCUCAAGUAUUCACAAUAUUGUCAUUGCCAUCAAUACACCAACCACCAUGAACAACAAAUUUGAAACUCUUAAUGCACCUAAAUAUCGAUUUAGACUCUUUCAUUCUCAAUUCUUAUGAACUAAAAACAACAUCUCUUUCACUUUCUCUCCAUAUUCAUCCAAAGAAAACACAAGAUUUUGAUUCUAAAAUUUUUAUGGUUCAUAGAGCCAUUGAAGCUUACGAUUCUUUGAUGGGUCACUUUUGAUGGAGAUUUUGGGUGCUUGGAGAAGACUUAUGUGUGAUAAACAAGUUAUCUCACUGGUUGAAACUAUGAAAUCAGUUUUUUCCCAGAUCUGUUCGUCCAGACAAGUAAGUCGUCUGGCUGUAGAUCACUUACACGGAAGUCUUCUGGUCAAUGCACAUGUUAGUUUUGCAAUUGACUUUUAAAUGUGAUUUUAUAGACGACUUACAUGGAAGUCGUCCAUCUUUGUUUGUUAAAAAAAAAUUCGAGACGAUUUCCAUGUAAGUCGUCUAGAGAAAACAGGUUAGUUUUGCAUUUGACUGAAUUGUGUCAAAAAUUUGAUUUUUCCUGGACGACUUACACGUAAGUCGUCCACUAAAAAAUUAAAAAAUCAAUAUUUUGUUAUACCUAGACGACUUAUAUGGAAGUCAUCUUAGGUUAGUUUUGCAAUUGAAAAAUAAAACAAAAAAAUAUUUUUUUAGACGACUUACACGGAAGUCGUCCGUCCGACGACUUACAUUAAAGUCGUCCAUGAUUUUAUUCCGAGAUUCUGGUCAAACCUUGCUCAUCUUCCAAGUUCAAUUGUAUAAGAUCGAGAUAAGGUCUUUCUCAACUCUUUCUGGAAUGAAUUAUUUUGUUUAUCUAAGACAAAGCUCAAAUAUAGUACCACAUUCCACCCCCAAACCGAAGUCUUGAACAUAUGCUUGGAGACAUCUUUGAGAUGCUUUGCAUCAAAACAUCCGAGAACUUGGUCGAAAUUUCUGUUUUGGGCAGAAUUAUGGUACAAUACUUCAUACCAAACAUCCCUCAAAACUUGUCCUUUUAAAGUGGUUUAUGGCAUCCUCCUGUGAUCAGUUACGAGGAAGGAUCUACAAAUAAUAUGGAGUUGGAAGGCUUACUUAAGGAGAGGGAUCGUAUGUUGGCAGACAUUAAGAAUUAGUUAAGUCAUGCUCAACAAUUGAUGCGUGAGAGUGCAAAUAAACAUUGUCGCCAUGUGGAGUUUGAAGUAGGCACUAUUGUUUAUUUGAAGCUCAAACUUUAUAGGCAGUAAUCAGUUGUUAAAAGACUGUGUCAGAAGCUUUCAGCUCAUUAGUUUGGUCCAUUCAAAGUCAUGGAACGGACUGGUAGAGUGACCUACCAUUUAAAGUUGUUGAUCAAAUCCAAACGGUGGGUCACAACUAAAGGCAGUGGUGUAAUCUGAUCACACUAUUAAUCCAUUACCUCCGCAAUGCCUUGAUUAGAAGGGUCUAGUUUUACAACCACGUGAUGUGAUUGGUACUCGUUAUGACACUGCAGCACGCCUACAUGUGUUGGUAAAAUGUCUUGGAAUGCCAUCACAUGAAACUACUUGGAUGUUGAUUGCAAACUUUAUAUCACAGUUUCCUUCUUAUGCUCUUGAGGGUAAAUUUAAUGACGGAGGGGGAGGGGGUAUUGAUAAGUGUGAUCGUUGUUAGAUAAGAAGUAGAAAGAGAGAGAAGGAAGGAAUCAAGCGAACCGAAGAUGAGCUUGAAGUUGAAGAUGAUGAGCUUGGAGUUUGAAGCUUGAUGAUUGGUGAAUAAGAGUUAGUUAGAAGUUUGUUGUAUUCUGUUAGAGUGAGCUUUGGUAUUGUAGAUUGAGUAUGUUGAGUUGAGGAGUUUCUCGUUACGGUUAGGCCUACGAGUACUCAUUGAUUUACAAUAUCAAUUUAACUAUUCAUUCAAUAAAGAUUGCAAUUGCUUUGAGAGGAUUGAGUUCGGAAUCGAGAUUACAUAUCAAAACUCUAUUCAAUGGGGUUUGUUGUAUGUUCACUUACAUUUUUUUGAUAGUUUAUCUCUUGCCAUAGUUUGUGGUCUGUUCGUAUAGAUGGAUUUGUGGUCUAUUCAUUAGCUUAUCUCUUGCCAUAGUUUCAAACAAAAAGCAUCAGUAUCACUAUGAUAAUAAUUGAAUGAAGAUAAUCUGUUCACUUACAUUUCUGAAUAUUAUCUCUUCGUUUUCCUACUGAUGAUAAUUGUGUUUCAUUUUGGAUGUGUUUGUGGCCUGUUCACUUUUAUUCAUUACCUCUCAAGAUAAAACAACACAUAAUUCAAAUAUCAUCGUUUAGGAUAAUGAUACUGGUGCUUUUUGUUAAAAAUAUGGCAACAUAUAAGCUUUUGUUGACUUUUUUAUUAAGAUCAGUUUGUACGUAUAACUAAAACUCCUCUGAUUGAUGAGUGAUAGUUUAGCUUUGUAUGGUUGACUGAUAAUUCUAGUAUCUGUCCAUGGACUUGGUUCGCUUUUUAAUAUGACUGUUUUGAUUGUGUUCAAGUGUAUAAACUCUUUCCUUGGCUGAUGUUUAGUCAAUGGUUUAUGUUUGAGUUGCUUCUACCUAAGGUAUAAACAGUGAGUGUUGGUCACUGAAUCUUUACAUUUUGUUUGAUGGGUUUUCUUGUUUUUUGUUUGCUUUAGCUAGUAAUAUGUUUAAUGGUUCAUUGCUUAACAUGGUUUGUGUAUCUGAUAAUUGAUGAAUGAUGACUUACGUGAUUUGUUUCAAACUUCUGCAGCUCUUAGUGUUGAAUGGGAGAAGCAUAUAUGCUGCUAAUAAGAACACUCUUUCUCAAAAUUUUCAAAAAAAUAUUUUACAGGAAAGCAACAGAUUGGAGUACCUGAUACCUAAAAGAACGUCACUGAAACAUAGGCUACCAAUGGGAGACCAAGGAUUCACAGACUUUGUAGGUAAUCUUCUAGAGAUAAACCCCAUAAAGCGUCUUUCUGCGUCAGAGGCUCUCAAGCAAUCUUGGCUUUCAUACCCAUACGAACCAGUAUCUGCUUAAAUCUUCUGAAAUAACCAAUGACUUACGUUUGCUACUAAAAACAACAGAUUAGUAUGAAAAGCCUUUUUAUUUGUGCAAGGAUCAAUCUCCUUUUUGGUGCAUGAUUGUUUAACGUUGUAGAUGUAUUUUCUAGUCAAGAGAGGCUAUGUGAAUGUAAAGGUAAGAUAUUUAUAGAAGAAACAUAACUCUUUUUGUGACAUUUGAUUAUAAAUCAUGUAACACUGCUGUUGACAAACUUGUGAUUAUUAUUCUCUUAGAUAACGAUUGUAGUAAAACUCAUUUUUUUAUCAUCUUUUAAUUCUUAGUCCUUUGAUUAUCAUUAUUAGUUAUCAGUGUUGUUUACUUUGAUGUUUUGAGUAAUUUAUUGGGCCACCCCAAUAUAAUGAAGGGUUUUUGAAAUUUAAUUAUCAAAAUUUCAUCAUAAAUUGAAUUUUGAAAUAUUAAAAAGUUGUUAAGAAAAAAAAAGUUUUAUAAGCAGAAAAUGAGGUUUAUUGCAAUUUAGUUAUAAAAAUUCAUCAUUAGUUGAAUUUUUGAAACAUUAAAAGUUUUUGUUAAAAGGUUUAAUUAGCAAAAAAUAAAGUUGUGAAUAGUUUCUUUGUUUAUUUAGUUUUUUUUUGGAUAAAGAUUUUUAUUUAUUAUUUUGUUUUAGUUUAGCUUAUGAUUUAUAACAAAAAAGCUUUUAUAUUUAUAUAUUUGACUAAAAAUUUAUUACCAUUUAAUAUAAUAUUUUUUAUAGAUGUAAAUAUAUUUAAACUACAUAUUUAUUUUAAAUAUAAUUAUAAAAUUUAUAAAAAUAAAAUAUAAAUUAAAUGAAAAACAGCUGCAGCGUCUACCAAAUAAACAACACUAAUAUACGUCCAGCGUGAUGACAAAAAAAUAUAUAGGUGUCCCGCAUCAACGUCUAGCGUCAGCGUUAACAUUCAACAUCUUAAAAACGAACAACAACCAAACGAAAAAUGAGGCAGACACAACCGCAGCCGAGCACUGAUCUGCAAACACAGUAGAACCAUCUAAGAAAUGCAGGACGAUCAUGGUUACUCUCUGCCACUCGAUCUUGGUGACCGUUCAAAUCAACUGGAUAACACCUUGAGCAGGAACAGAUGCCAAGUGAUGGAUAACACUUAUAUAACAUUUGGCUAUGGUGACUUCUUCGCCUAUAAACUUCUGAUACUCACUCUCUCCUGUGUAAUCAAGAUUCGAGAGAUGAUGUGUAAGUUCUAUUCGUGUUGCUGAACAUCACAAAGUUGGUUUUCUCAAGUGACUUUCUGCUCCAUGUUCCAUACCCUUAGAAUCCAUUCUCCUCUACUGCUGAUUGAAUUUGAAGAACGACCAGACACAACGGGAAGAAGAGGACCUAGUGGCAAUACUCAAUGAGAGCAUUGAAUAGUCCGGAGAUAGAUUCGACGAUCGAAGGGUCAAUCUUGAUGCCAACUUGAGUAAAGGUUUUUGCUUUAUCAAUGGUGGAGUCCAUACAUUCCCAUGGCUCGUCAGAGACAAGAUAACGGUCUCCUAGGCGAUUCUAUAAACAUGGUUUCCAUCGAUCCUGUGUAUCUAUGUGGCACCCAUUUCAAUCUUCUCGGUGGAGAACUCGGAGGUCGAUGUUUGUGCCCUGUUGAGAAGGUUUAACUUUUCAUUCUGAAUGCAGGAUAAUAGGCUCAAUAAAACUUCAUGGCCCAUAACUUAAGAGUAACCGGAAGCAAAAACAGAACUUAAAAAGAGAUGACAUGGCGCGCUAUGUGAAAAGAAUAUCCUACUUUAUAUAUAUACUAGUGGCAUUUCCGCGCUUCGCGCGGGAUGUAUUAUAUUCGGUUAAACAUAAGUUUUGUUUGUAUAUACUUAUUGGUUUAGUUAUUUUAUAAAUUUAUUCUUUAUUUUUUUUAAAUUUCUAAUGUAUAUACUAUUUAUCAUUAAGUAUAUUUUUUGUAUUUUUAGAUAUGUGCUGAAUUGGUCUCAAGAAGUUGAAACUAUGCAUGAAUGUUCAGUUUUCGGUUCAGUUCAUGUUUCUUUUCCUCGGUUUUUUAUUUUUUUGGUUUUAGAAUUAUAGGAACCAUUCAAUUAGUUAUGAAAGUUUCUUUAGUCUUGGUUUGGUUAUUUUGGUCUUUAGUUUAGUUUGGGUACCAAUCAUAAGAACCAACUAAUAUCCAAUAAACUUUUGGUUCCAAUUCGGUUCUGAUUUUUGGUUAAUUUUGGAUAAUUCGCAUAAAAAUCAGAUCUUUUCAGUUUUGGGAUUUAAUAUCGGAUAAUCCAUAUAAAUUUUAAUAUUGAAACAAACACUAUUUGGAUAAUUCUGUUAUUUCGGGUAACUCAAAUAAAUUUAAAUAUUUUGGAUAAAUAAAUAUUCGGGUAUUUCAUAUUUUAUUAAUAUUAUUUUUUGGUAAUUUAAGACUAAAUAUAAUUUAUAAUUUAAGUACUCAUUCAGUUUUCUGUUCGGUUCUAACACGGUUAUAUUUUUUCAGUUUUAGAAAUAUAUGAACUGCUCGGUUAUUUGUGAAAUAUUUCAGUUUCAGAUUCAUUUUUUUUGUGGGCUUCGAUUCGGCUUUUUCUUCUUAAUUAAUAUGCUGAGCAUAGUUGAAACCAUAGUGAUAGUGCAUGUUUUGUUAUUUUUUGUUUGCACAUUUUUAUUGUAUUUAUUUGUUGCUCAUGUUCAGUGGUGGCACAUAAUUUUUAUUUCAAUUUUUCAGGUAUUUGGUUUAUAAAUAAUUUUUUAAUUUUUUGGUAAUUUUAUAACUAAAUAGAAUUACUAUUUUAGUUUCUUAUUUGGCUCGAUGAUACGAUUUUGAUUUUUCAGCUUCAAAAAUAUAUAAACCGAUCGAUUGUUUAUGAAUUUUGGUUUAGUUUUGGUUUGUCUUUUUUGUUGACUUCAAUUCGGUUUUCGGUUCUUAAUUUAUAUGCACGCAUAGUUGAAAUGUAAGUGGUGUCACAUGUUUUGUUAUUUUUUGUUUGCACAUUUUUUUAUUGUAAUUUUUUAUUUGUUGCAUAUUUAUUGUUAUGAAAAUAAUGUGUAUUGAGAGGCACAAAACUUAACCCUCAUUGUAAAUAUGUUUUGAGAAAUUCUGUGUGAUUAUGUUUUUUUGUGUGUUGUGCCCAGGGGCGAAGCCACUCACAGAGUUAGGUGUACACGUGCACCCAUAAAAAUUUGGAUAAUUAAAUUUUUGUUGGUUAAAUCUGCAUAAUGCUAUUAGAUAAUGUGGUUAGAAUCAUCUAGUGCACCCACAAUUAACCCAGGUUCGAUCCUUAGAUAGUGUUUUUUGUAUUUUAAAUUAAAUGUGCACCCAGUCUAUAAGUGUUCUGCAUUCGCCCCUGGUUGUGCCUUUAUUUUGAGAGUGAAUGUUAUAUUAUGAUAUCUAGGAAAUCGUGUUAUAGAAAGAAUUUUAUGGGGUUGAUGUUAUUUCAUGUGAUACUUCAUACUUGCCAUGGUCCAUGAACCGCGAGUCACCAGAGAGCCUCGUGAAAUUAUCAACCAUCCAUCUCACCUUCUUUGCGUUUACCUUUCAUCUACCAAGAGCAUGUCAACGCCCAUGAGUUCACCUUCUUUCUUCGCAUUCCAAGCCUCCCCAACAGGAGCAAUCGCACCUCGGCUGGUUUAGGACAACAUUCGGCUUUCAAUUCAGUUAGACGUAGGUCACUGUGGACAUUGAAGAUAGCUGAACUGCAGAUAGAGGAUGUGGAAUUUUUUUUUGAUAAGAAGAGAGAAUGUGAAAUGAUUUGAUGGAAUUUGUGAUUUUUAGUGAAUCCAACUAUGGUAUUUAUGGUUAUAGGUGUAGUUUUCAGAUGUUUCCAUGGCGGUGUGAGUGAACUAAUGCGAGAGAGUGGAGGUAGUGAUGAGAACGACAUUAAUGAGAUCAUUAUAGUGGUUGACUGAAUUCAGAGGAAAGGCGUUAUGUAAACCGACAGUUUUUGUUGGCUAAUUUGUUCCGACAAGAUCGAAGAAGAAAGACUUUUGGACCGAGAUUUUGGAAUAAUGAUAGGUCCAAACAAAUAAAUCAAAUGCAACAUGAUGCUUUCGUAAGUAGACGACCCAUUUUUCAGAAACAAAGAGUGAGGAAACAACGCCACGUGUCACAUUUUAGAAUAGCCUUCGCUGAGGUGGCGCAUUGUGGAGCCUUUCUAGUCAACUUUAUUAGUAUAGAUACUAGAUAUGAGCAUGUGCGUUGCAACAGGUUUUUUUGGAUGUUUUAAUUUAAUAAAAAAAUAAAUAAUUUUAUUAUACUUUUAGGAUUAUUUUUGCAUAUGAUGUGUGAGACUUAUUUUAUAAUUAAGAACUCAUUUUUACACAUAAAUUACAGUUAAUAUUUGUAUUUUAUAAUCAUAGUGCAUAUGUGAAUUCUUAUCAAUUUUCUACUAAGUGCUAGAGAAAACACUCAUACCUAUAACUUUAAACCCAACCCAACCGAAUUAAGAAUUAGAAUAUAAGAAAAUUGAAAGUUAAAUAAGGCCAAUCGAGUCAAUGACAACAUAAUACACUUUCUUAUUUAAUAAUUUAAUAUUUUAUUAAACUUAUCUGAUUCUUAAUAAUUUUCUUAAUUCAUUAUUUCUUAAUGAUAUAUUCAUAACAUUAUUUUAAUUAAAAAUGAAGUAGAAAAAUAUUACAUAGUAAAAAAAAUGUAAUAAGAUGGCGAUUAAACUUGAUUUUUUAACAAAAUGCAUAUAAAAAUAACUUCAGUGACAAUAAUAAUAAUAAUCUAUUUCUUAUGACCAAACAUGAAAAUAUAUAUUUCAGACAUGUGUAUAAUUUUCGUAUGACCAAACAUAUAUAAAUAGCAAUCAUGAACACAUCCUAAUUUUUUUAUUUUUGUUAAUUAAAUAGUUUUAACAUCAAACUUGUCAUCAAAUUCUUUUUUUUUAAUUAUUAUUACAUAAUUUUACAAUUUGUUUUUGUUUAGAUUUUUUUUAAGGGAUCCUUUUCAUUUACAGUCAAAUAUAUAUAUCAAAUACUCUUUUACAUUUUUGUUUUAGGAUUUUAGAAAAGGAAAAUUACUAUCAUAUAAUCUUUUACAAUUUUCUUCUGUUUAAAAUUUUAGAAAAAUUAAAUUGUUCUCAGAUAAUUAUUUCUAGUUACUAUUAAAUAAGUUUAAAAAUACUAUUUAUACAAUUCGUAUCUAAACUAAUUUAAACAGAUUGAGUAAUUUUUUAGUAUCAUACUCAUCAUCAAAUUCUCUCUUAAAAAUGUUACGAAAUAUAUUUU